GAAAUCUACAGGAAAAAGAUUUGCAGAAAUGUUAGCAUAUGUCCAUAAACAAAACCAUUAUCAAGAUUAAGGCCACAAUAUUUAAUCUGAAUAAUGCCUCGUUUACAUUAGGGAAAGGUCAUGUGUUCUACUGCAAGCACUUAGCCAAUUUGAGCUAAGAGGGCUAAUACAACUUUUCAAUAUCCAUAUGGAAUCCUUUGUUUUUUAAGAUAAUGUUUGAACUUGCAGAAAUGGAGCAAAGUUUUUGUUCCAUGAGAAACAAUAUAAAGUCUGAUGCAAAGACAGAUAUUGUGUGCUACAUUGUGCUAAGUGUCCAUGACAACACUGAACAAGCAAACUAGGUUUCCCAUGUCACACUAUAUUUGCUCAAGAUUUAAUUUUAAAACACAUAAUUAAAAAAAGUAGCAUUUCCCCAUACUUUUUGCUUUAAAUGGCAAAAAUCAACGGCACCUCACAUAAACUUCACUGUAGUGUGAUUUACCUGUCAAUAGUCAGAUCUAGUCCACACUGUUCCCUGAGCUGAGGAAGUAGCUCCUCUUUUGACUGCCGCACAGUCAUUCCUUUAGCAAAAACAGAAUCUAGAAGAAACUUGCAGGGCUGCGAAAACAAAUGUAAAAUUAUUAAGCUUAUUGGAGAAAUCACUCUCUGACACACUCAUAAAAGGUGAAGUUAUAAAAUACAGGGCUGCUGCCAUAGCCUCCAUAGCAUUGAAAAAAAUACCCCAUGGUUUCCACACAAUGUGACAAAGACUAUUUAGGAUUUCUGUUUAUCAGGUAUGCAGAACUCAGUAAUAAAGCAAUGCAAUUUUUAAAAA
This is a non-coding RNA of Podarcis muralis (Common wall lizard), 814 nucleotides long. The record is from RefSeq and is a predicted model, not a curated record. Lineage: Eukaryota; Metazoa; Chordata; Lepidosauria; Squamata; Lacertidae.